GACGAACGCUGGCGGCGCGCCUAACACAUGCAAGUCGAACGGAGAUACCUAAAAGAUCCCUUCGGGGUGAUUUUGGACUAUCUUAGUGGCGGACGGGUGAGUAACACGUGAGCAACCUGCCUUACAGAGGGGGAUAACAUCUGGAAACGGAUGCUAAUACCGCAUAACAUUUUAAAACCGCAUGGUUUUGAGAUCAAAGAUUUAUCGCUGUAAGAUGGGCUCGCGUCCGAUUAGCUAGUUGGUGAGGUAACGGCCCACCAAGGCGACGAUCGGUAGCCGGACUGAGAGGUUGAACGGCCACAUUGGGACUGAGACACGGCCCAGACUCCUACGGGAGGCAGCAGUGGGGGAUAUUGCACAAUGGGGGAAACCCUGAUGCAGCGACGCCGCGUGAGGGAAGAAGGUUUUCGGAUUGUAAACCUCUGUCCCCGGUGAAGAUAAUGACGGUAACCGGGGAGGAAGCCACGGCUAACUACGUGCCAGCCGCCGCCGUAACAC
Molecule: ribosomal RNA, 498 nt
Filed under: uncultured bacterium
Lineage: Bacteria
Description: bacterial SSU rRNA
Rfam family: Bacterial small subunit ribosomal RNA
Source: RNAcentral